Molecule: ribosomal RNA, 480 nt
Filed under: Triticum aestivum (bread wheat)
Lineage: Eukaryota; Viridiplantae; Streptophyta; Magnoliopsida; Poales; Poaceae
Description: partial small subunit ribosomal RNA
Source: RNAcentral
AUGAGCCAGAGGAUAGGACCCAUGGAAAGCACCACCACAUCAACUAGGAAUCGGCAAGGGCCGCCGCCGGCCGCCGCCUUGAUGCAUCCUCUGCCUCAAAGCAGCGUCCGGUGCGACGCGCUCGUGGUGCUUCACCGGCAUCCCGACGCGACGUGCUCCGCUCGCGGUGCUGCAGUAAAGUGCACGGGGCUGCAAUGGAGCACUACGGGAGGCUGCAAUGGAGCGACGCGCGGGGUCGUUGAGCUCCGACGGGGAUGCAAUGAAGCACGCCGGAGCUGCAAUGAAGCGCGCAUGGGGUCGUUGAAGCUCGUCAGGGGUUGCAAUGGAGCCCCGGCGUCAUGGCCGCUGCAUCGCAACUCCGGCAGCGUCGGCGACCGCUGCAUCGUAGCUCCGGCGGUCGACGACCGCUGCACUGCAGCUCCGGCGGCGUCGGCGACCGCUGCAUCGCAGCUCCGGCGGUCGACGACCGCUGCACUGUAG